AACACGUUACCUCUUGGUUACAUGGCAAUAACUUUAGUAGUUAAUAGUAUGUACAACUAAUCACUUCUUAGAAUCAUACACAGCGCCUCAAAUCCCAUACGAGCUGGAAUCAGCUAGUUAAUAUACAACACCAGAUUAAUUAAUACUGUGAUUGUUGAUCUACCCCGUAAAACUUUCACUAAUACAAAAGACAACUCCUACAUUCUUGCUCGCUAUAAAAAUAAAAAUAAAAAAUAAGCGAUCUACGGUUAGUAAUAAAGAAUCUGAAUCGACAGAUGCUGGACUCAGAUUAGAUCCAUUUUCCAGAAGAAAAUCCGGUUUUCUUUGGAGGAACUUUCAAGCCAAGUUCUUUACAUUGCUCUUCAUCAGGCUGUGGGCUCAGAAAUCCUGUCCCAACAAAGUGUACUAAGGCUGAUGCAUCCUCGAGUUUUCUUGUGAAACUCAAUGAUGCCAAGGAAAGAGGAGCUGAUGUAGUCUUUGAUUG
This 484-nucleotide long non-coding RNA is filed under the name Nicotiana benthamiana. Its description in RNAcentral is "long non-coding RNA (NBEN_LNC019137)". Lineage: Eukaryota; Viridiplantae; Streptophyta; Magnoliopsida; Solanales; Solanaceae. The record is from RNAcentral.